RNAcentral lists this ribosomal RNA (464 nucleotides) under Vreelandella stevensii. RNAcentral's name for it is "partial 16S ribosomal RNA". It matches the Rfam family "Bacterial small subunit ribosomal RNA", at positions 338 to 795 of the family's 1533-position model. The record is from RNAcentral. Lineage: Bacteria; Pseudomonadati; Pseudomonadota; Gammaproteobacteria; Oceanospirillales; Halomonadaceae.
CCUACGGCGGCUGCAGUGGGGAAUAUUGGACAAUGGGCGAAAGCCUGAUCCAGCCAUGCCGCGUGUGUGAAGAAGGCCUUCGGGUUGUAAAGCACUUUCAGUGGGGAAGAAAGCCUUGGGGCUAAUACCCUCGAGGAAGGACAUCACCCACAGAAGAAGCACCGGCUAACUCCGUGCCAGCAGCCGCGGUAAUACGGAGGGUGCGAGCGUUAAUCGGAAUUACUGGGCGUAAAGCGCGCGUAGGCGGUCUGAUAAGCCGGUUGUGAAAGCCCCGGGCUCAACCUGGGAACGGCAUCCGGAACUGUCAGGCUAGAGCGCAGGAGAGGAAGGUAGAAUUCCCGGUGUAGCAGUGAAAUGCGUAGAGAUCGGGAGGAAUACCAGUGGCGAAGGCGGCCUUCUGGACUGACACUGACGCUGAGGUGCGAAAGCGUGGGUAGCAAACAGGAUUAGAUACCCCAGUAGUC